GCGCUCAUAGCUCAGUUGGAAGAGCACCGGCCUUCUAAGCCGGCAGUCCCAGGUUCGAGUCCUGGUGGGCGCA
This 73-nucleotide transfer RNA is filed under the name Plesiocystis pacifica. Its description in RNAcentral is "tRNA-Arg". It matches the Rfam family "tRNA". Rfam says of the family: Transfer RNA (tRNA) molecules are approximately 80 nucleotides in length. The record is from RNAcentral. Lineage: Bacteria; Pseudomonadati; Myxococcota; Nannocystales; Nannocystaceae. RNAcentral also lists the same sequence under 1 other name.